CGAACGUGGGUAACCUGCCCAUCAGAGGGGGAUAACAUUCGGAAACGGAUGCUAAAACCGCAUAGGUCUUCGAACCGCAUGGUUUGAAGAGGAAAAGAGGCGCAAGCUUCUGCUGAUGGAUGGACCCGCGGUGCAUUAGCUAGUUGGUGAGGUAACGGCUCACCAAGGCCGUGAUGCAUAGCCGACCUGAGAGGGUGAUCGGCCACAUUGGGACUGAGACACGGUCCAA
This 229-nucleotide ribosomal RNA is filed under the name uncultured bacterium. Its description in RNAcentral is "partial 16S ribosomal RNA". It matches the Rfam family "Bacterial small subunit ribosomal RNA", at positions 112 to 334 of the family's 1533-position model. The record is from RNAcentral.